GGAUGUAGUAAUUUUUUUUAUAUUUAAAAGUAUUAUUUAUUAUUUGAGUUCUAUAUCAGGUUAAUUUGUUCAAGACUUUCUUCAAAAGUACUAAUAACAUCGGCUUGUUCAGAACCUGUCACUAGUCCUGGAUUUCAUGCAUUACAAUAGAU
Long non-coding RNA from Erpetoichthys calabaricus (reedfish), 152 nucleotides. RefSeq lists it as uncharacterized. The transcript has 2 exons. The record is from RefSeq and is a predicted model, not a curated record. NCBI's taxonomy places the organism in Eukaryota, Metazoa, Chordata, Cladistia, Polypteriformes, Polypteridae.